GGAGUUCUGAUUUUUUAUUUAUUCCAUCAGACUAAUAAAGACUUCAGCACAAUAACAUACCCAAAAGGAAACUGGGAUCAUUGUGAUGAGAGGCACAGAAUUUGUGGCCUCUCUAUGAACAAAUUCCCUACAUGU
Nycticebus coucang (slow loris) is the source of this 135-nucleotide small nucleolar RNA. RefSeq annotates it as small nucleolar RNA SNORA11. Lineage: Eukaryota; Metazoa; Chordata; Mammalia; Primates; Lorisidae. The record is from RefSeq and is a predicted model, not a curated record. The transcript has a single exon.